AGAAAUUUUAUUAAAAAGAAACAAAAAGAAGACCUAAACCCAUGAGAGCACAAGUGCAAUUGAGGGUCGGGCCUCGUUAAAACCUCAUUAAGGAAAAAAACCUUAACGAGGAAAAAGAGUGCACGUCUAAAAGACAGACGAACAGAAAAAAAAAGAAAAAGAAAUGGUACUGGCGGUGAGCGGGGAAAGAGCCACCUCAGAAGCUCAAGUCGAACCAUUGCCCCUAGGAGGCUCGGCUCACACAAACCAAAAACCAAUAAAGGAAAAACGAAAAAAAACCUAGAGAAGAAACACCAACUAAC
Molecule: long non-coding RNA, 302 nt
Filed under: Salvia miltiorrhiza (redroot sage)
Lineage: Eukaryota; Viridiplantae; Streptophyta; Magnoliopsida; Lamiales; Lamiaceae
Description: long non-coding RNA (SMIL_LNC011249)
Source: RNAcentral